This 206-nucleotide ribosomal RNA is filed under the name uncultured bacterium. RNAcentral's name for it is "partial 16S ribosomal RNA". It matches the Rfam family "Bacterial small subunit ribosomal RNA", at positions 568 to 774 of the family's 1533-position model. The record is from RNAcentral.
CGCGUAGGCGGGGAUAAAAGUCAGAUGUGAAAUCCCCGGGCUCAACCUGGGAACUGCAUCUGAUACUGGCAAGCUUGAGUCUCGUAGAGGGGGUAGAAUUCCAGGUGUAGCGGUGAAAUGCGUAGAGAUCUGGAGGAAUACCGGUGGCGAAGGCGGCCCCCUGGACGAAGACUGACGCUCAGGUGCGAAAGCGUGGGGAGCAAACA